RNAcentral lists this ribosomal RNA (253 nucleotides) under uncultured bacterium. Its description in RNAcentral is "partial 16S ribosomal RNA". It matches the Rfam family "Bacterial small subunit ribosomal RNA", at positions 524 to 776 of the family's 1533-position model. The record is from RNAcentral.
UACGUAGGGUGCGAGCGUUAAUCGGAAUUACUGGGCGUAAAGCGUGCGCAGGCGGCGCGUUAAGACAGAUGUGAAAGCCCCAAGCUUAACUUGGGAAUUGCGCUUGUGACUGGCGUGCUGGAGUGUGGCAGAGGGAGGUGGAAUUCCACGUGUAGCAGUGAAAUGCGUAGAGAUGUGGAGGAACACCGAUGGCGAAGGCAGCCUCCUGGGCCAGCACUGACGCUCAUGCACGAAAGCGUGGGGAGCAAACAGG